This 1306-nucleotide ribosomal RNA is filed under the name metagenome. Its description in RNAcentral is "SSU rRNA". It matches the Rfam family "Eukaryotic small subunit ribosomal RNA", at positions 3 to 1297 of the family's 1831-position model. The record is from RNAcentral.
CCUGGUUGAUCCUGCCAGUAGUCAUAUGCUUGUCUUAAAAAUUAAGCCAUGCAAGUCUAAGUAUAAACGAAGUUAUACAGUGAGACUGCAGAAGGCUCAUUAUAUCAGUUAUUGUCUAGGCGAUGGGCAAAUUUACUACAUGGAUAACUGUAGUAAUUCUAGAGCUAAUACAUGCCAUAAAGCUCUUCUCUUUUUGAGAGGGGUGGCCUUAUUAGUCGCAAAAGCCAGCCCGACUUUGUUGGAGCCUUGGUGAUUCAUAAUAAUGAUGCCCAAUCGUACAUCAGUACGAUACAUCGCUAGAAUUUCUGCCCUAUCAGCUUUGGAUGGUAGUGUAGUGGACUACCAUGGCUUUUACGGGUGACGGGGAAUUAGGGUUCGAUUCCGGAGAGGGAGCCUGAGAAACGGCUACCACUUCUAUGGAAGGCAGCAGGCGUGCAAAUUACCCAAUCCCAAAAUGGGGAGGUAGUGACAAGAAAUAACAAUAGUGGGCUCUUACGAGUUCGCUAAUUGGAAUGGAUUUGGUGUAAAAGUCCUUUUGAGGAACAAUUGGAGGGCAAGUCUGGUGCCAGCAGCCGCGGUAAUACCAGCUCCAAUAGUGUAUACUAAUGUUGCUGCAGUUAAAAAGCUCGUAGUCGAACUUCUGAUCUGUCAAACGUGAGCAGUCCUUAAUCAAGGUCUUGUCUCAAAUGUUUGUGGAUCAUAAUUCUGGAGAGUCCUUCUAGCCUUAAUUGGUUCGGUCGGUACGAUCCAGAGCGUUUACUGUGAGCAAAUGGGAGUGUUCAAAGCAGGCUUUAUAGCAUGCCUGAACCGUUUAGCAUGGAAUAAUGAUAUAUAACUCUAGUUAUAUUUCGUUGGCUUAUACAAUUGGAGUAAAGAUCGAAAGGGAUAGUUGGGGGUGCUCAUAUUCAGGGGGUAGCGGUGAAAUGCAUUGAUCCUCUGAAGAUGAACUAAUGCGAAAGCAUUCACCAAGGAUAUCUUCUUUGAUCAAGAACGAAAGUUGGGGGAUCGAAGACGAUCAGAUACCGUCGUAGUCUCAACCAUAAACGAUGCCAACUAGGGAUUGGCGAUCGUUGGUUAUCAUGACUCCGUCAGCACCUUUAGAGAAAUCAAAGUCUUUGGGUUCUGGGGGGGAGUAUGGUCGCAAGUCUGAAACUUAAAGGAAUUGACGGAAGGGCACCACCAGGAGUGGAGCCUGCGGCUUAAUUUGACCCAACACGGGGAAACUUACCAGGUCCAGACAUAGUAAGGAUUGACAGAUUGAAGCUCUUUCUUGAUUCUAUGGAUAGUGGUGCAUGGCCGUUCUUAG